GGUAUUGUGAUGGGGUUUGUGGGGUUUCUGAUUUUCUUGGUGUGUGUAGAGAAGGUGAAGGGCCCUGGAUUGGGAGAGACAUCGCCAGCAAAAGCAGGAGGAGAGAAAGUCACAGGAGGUGUGAAUGGGUUUUGUAUGCAUGGGGUCUAGGAUGAGAUCGAUUGUAGGUAGGAGUGAGAGAGUAGAAAAAUGAGUGCAAGGCAUGAGAGGAGAGAAGGGGAGCAGAGAGAGGCAUAUGUAAAUUUGGAUGGGGUGAUGAGUGAAGUGGGUGUAAGGAGAUAUUUUUAUACCAAGGGAGAAGGAGAAAAUAAAGAGGAGGAGAAGACAAAUCAUUGCUAAACUGGGAAAAAGUAAAUUGGAAAUAAUUGGAAUAUCAAGAGCAGGUGAAGG
Non-coding RNA from Pelobates cultripes (western spadefoot toad), 390 nucleotides. The record is from the annotation of a GenBank genome assembly. NCBI's taxonomy places the organism in Eukaryota, Metazoa, Chordata, Amphibia, Anura, Pelobatidae.